GCNCUAACGCUCGUGCCGCGGUGCCUCGUACAUGCAAGUCGAGCGAACAUAUACGGAGCUUGCUCCUUUGACGUUAGCGGCGGACGGGUGAGUAACACGUGGGUAACCUACCUAUAAGACUGGAAUAACUCCGGGAAACCGGGGCUAAUGCCGGAUAACAUAUAGAACCGCAUGGUUCUAUAGUGAAAGAUGGUUUUGCUAUCACUUAUAGAUGGACCCGCGCCGUAUUAGCUAGUUGGUAAGGUAACGGCUUACCAAGGCGACGAUACGUAGCCGACCUGAGAGGGUGAUCGGCCACACUGGAACUGAGACACGGUCCAGACUCCUACGGGAGGCAGCAGUAGGGAAUCUUCCGCAAUGGGCGAAAGCCUGACGGAGCAACGCCGCGUGAGUGAUGAAGGGUUUCGGCUCGUAAAACUCUGUUAUUAGGGAAGAACAUAUGUGUAAGUAACUGUGCACAUCUUGACGGAC
Molecule: ribosomal RNA, 471 nt
Filed under: Staphylococcus gallinarum
Lineage: Bacteria; Bacillati; Bacillota; Bacilli; Caryophanales; Staphylococcaceae
Description: bacterial SSU rRNA
Rfam family: Bacterial small subunit ribosomal RNA
Source: RNAcentral